Long non-coding RNA from Parus major (Great Tit), 1388 nucleotides. The record is from Ensembl. Lineage: Eukaryota; Metazoa; Chordata; Aves; Passeriformes; Paridae.
AAAUAAUCCCACUGAGACCCCCCUAGCUGCUUUGAUUGCAAAAAGCCAAAUGUUCCUAUCUACAGCAAGAAAAGGAGCAAAGGGCUCUGCAAACUGGAAGAAAGGACAAGACAAAAAACACAGAUGAGAUGGGAAAGAGCUUUGCCCCAUAUUCCUGCAGCCAACCCACUUGCAAAGAGUAUUUCCAAGGCUUGUUAUGCACAUGCAAGAUCCCGGCAACACUACAGAACUCACUGAAGAUGUGAAUGGUAUGGAAUCACUUCCCCAGCAGACUGAUCCUGCCUCCAUAAACUUGCCAUUAAAGUGUUUUAUAUUUGCAGUGUUACACAUCACAGAAGUGGAUCCCAAUGAUUCUUUGCUCAGAAGUCCUGUUUCUCCACCUCAGUGAUAACCAAUGGACUUCACUCAGCAGAAGUUGUCCCUUUGGAUAUCUUCAGCUUAGACCAUUUCUGGCUGGACAGUGCUGCCUUUGUAGUUAAAUACAAAUACUACAAAUGAGGAGGGUUUGGCUAGAUUUUACUCUUUGUAGCAGGGAUGGUCAGGAAAACCACUGCCCUGUUUUACAGUAGUGGCUUGGGUGACUACUUGGCUGCCUUCAAUUGGCAGUAGCAUUCAUCCCAGUUCUUCAAGCUCAGUUUCUUAAGGAGAACUGUAGGAUUCAAUCCAAAUUGAAAAUGAGUCUUCCACACUUCAGUCUGAGGAACAAAUUCUAGUGUCUGAGCCAUUUCUCUGGCUCCAGUCACAGGGAACACUUCCAAGUACCCUACACAGCCCAAUACGUGCUCCCCUUGCAGACCACACGUGACUCAGCAACACAGGUUUGCCAUCCCUGUAACACUUCCACUCUGUCACAAAGAGGCCAAAAGUUACCCUUAGAUGGAUGAAGCUAAAUGUCAUACUAAACUACAGAAAUACAUUCAAAGAAAUUUCUAAAACUUCUUCUUUGUGAAAUGCUGUUAAGGCAAGGUCUGAAUUACUGCAUCCAUUUUUGAUGGCCCACUUGAAGGAAGAGAUCUAGAGAACAGCAGGUUAUGAUCAAAGGAAUGGGGGAGAUUUAAUCUGGAAAGGAGAAGGCAGAGGGAAAACUGUAAGUUUCAUGUACAUAAAAUGCUACUGUAAAGCAGGGAACUCCUCCCAAUGCCUGUUGCAAUAGAACAGAAUUAAUGGCUUUGAUUGCACAAGGGAGAUGUGAAUUUGACAUAAUGAAAGCUUUCUAGUGGGAAGGUUAGUUUAGCACUCAAAGACUGCAUAUGGAAAAUAUGGAAUAUCCAUCUGUGGAGGUUUUUAAGAAGAGAUUAGACAAUUAUCUGGUCAGAACAGUUAAGGGGAGUGGAUUCAAGAAGCUCUCACAGUAUCUAUUUAUCCUAUAUUUACAGUCCUAGAAAAGA